AUUGAACGCUGGCGGCAGGCUUAACACAUGCAAGUCGAGCGGAGAUGAGGUGCUUGCACCUUAUCUUAGCGGCGGACGGGUGAGUAAUGCUUAGGAAUCUGCCUAUUAGUGGGGGACAACAUUCCGAAAGGAAUGCUAAUACCGCAUACGUCCUACGGGAGAAAGCAGGGGAUCUUCGGACCUUGCGCUAAUAGAUGAGCCUAAGUCGGAUUAGCUAGUUGGGGGGGUAAAGGACUACAAAGGCGAAGAUCUGUAGCGGGUCUGAGAGGAUGAUCCGCCACACUGGGACAGAGACACGGCCCAGACUCCUACGGGAGGCAGCAGUGGGGAAUAUUGGACAAUGGGGGGAACCCUGAUCCAGCCAUGCCGCGUGUGUGAAGAAGGCCUUAUGGUUGUAAAGCACUUUAAGCGAGGAGGAGGCUACUGAGACUAAUACUCUUGGAUAGUGGACGUUACUCGCAGAAUAAGCACCGGCUAACUCUGUGCCAGCCGCCGCCGUAA
Molecule: ribosomal RNA, 501 nt
Filed under: uncultured bacterium
Lineage: Bacteria
Description: partial 16S ribosomal RNA
Rfam family: Bacterial small subunit ribosomal RNA
Source: RNAcentral